Long non-coding RNA from Neocloeon triangulifer, 693 nucleotides. RefSeq lists it as uncharacterized. NCBI's taxonomy places the organism in Eukaryota, Metazoa, Arthropoda, Insecta, Ephemeroptera, Baetidae. The record is from RefSeq and is a predicted model, not a curated record. The transcript has 4 exons.
GUCGUUCCUUGGAAUGAGAGGAUGCCUGGAAUGGCUGUAAACGUCAACGGAGGCUAUUUUAGUCAACGAAGACCACAUAUUAGAUAAAAUCAGAAAAAUAAGAUUCACCAACGGUGAAAUGCUGCUAAGAUUUACUGGAACGGAACAGGGCUUAAAUUUAACAAGAAUGGAUGAUGCCUUGGAGGUUUACGUUGAAGUGAAGGCUUUGCAGCAAGUGAAAAAAAAACCAUGAGGGAGAUGGGAAAAAAGCAGCAAAACUUGUACUGCCUUUAAUAGCCAAAAGUGAAUUACUAAAGUACUGCACGGUGGAUGGUAAACAAGGAGGACCGGUCAACACCGGAUACUGUUGCCUAGACGGGAGUGUUGUACCCUUUGCAGGACUCCCAGAAGAUGCUGUUGAUUCUAUAUUAAAAUUCAUACUUCCCAUGAAACCUGACACCAUGGAAGUGAAAAAAUGGAAUUCAGGCAUAAAGAAAAGUGUGAACAAGCUGAUUCUUAAUAGAACCUACAGAGGAAAAAGUUGAUGGUGUUUGUGUCACUGGCGAGUGGAUGAACAAUUCUCAAGUUUUUAGGACUGAAUAUAUUAAAUUAAAAUUAAUGUAUUAAAACGAUGGACCGAAUGAAUAUAUAUGAUAAAUUUUGAACACCUUUCAUCUUGUUAAGUUAUUAUAAAGUAUUUGUAUUUGUACGAAU